This 1278-nucleotide long non-coding RNA is filed under the name Dasypus novemcinctus (nine-banded armadillo). Its description in RNAcentral is "lncRNA (ENSDNOG00000051007.1)". The record is from RNAcentral. Lineage: Eukaryota; Metazoa; Chordata; Mammalia; Cingulata; Dasypodidae.
CGGAGGAGGACACGGAAGCACAGAAGGGAGAAAAGGCUGGUCCGGGGUCACACAGCCGGGCAGGGACGGAGCCGGGCACGGGUCCUGGGCUCCCGCCUCUCAGCCCAGGGCUCGGCAGGCCAGGGCUUGGGUAGUGGGUGCAACAGGGAGGUGUCCACGCCACCCAGGGGGCCCCGGCGCCUCUCUUUGCUCCUUCGGGAACCCAGAGCAGAGCCCUUGGAGGGGCGACACCUGGACUUGAAUGCCACCCCGCCCUCCCCUUACUGGGUGUGUGAUUUGGCCCAUUUUUUUUACCUGCCUGAACCUACUUUACACGUGUGUAAAAUGGGGCCAAGGAUUCUACUGGAGAGGACUGCUGGGGAGCGGCAGUGUACGGACGAGGGCACCCAGCUUAGAGGCCGCGGAGGAGGCCUGAAGACGGCGCAGCGUGACCGCACGGGGCGUGGCACAAGGGGUUGCUCAGUCACACCGUCCUCCAGUUCCUCCAGAUGCCCCAGGCAUCCCGGGAUACAGAAGGCUCAGCCCUGCCCUCAGGGCCCACCAGGAUGGCAACAAAGCUCAAGGAACACCGCCGCACGGCAGUCAGAGGGGCCGCGCUCCGGCUUCCCUGUGCUUGAAGCGGGAAGUUCUGACCUCAGCCCGAUUCCAGCGCCCUUUGUGACCCAGUCUUCAGAAGUCACUAGUUCCCCUGCCACAGUCUGUUUGCUGAGGCAGUCGCAAAGAGCCGCCAAUUUCACCGGGAGGGAUGCUACCUUUUGACGGAAGGAGUGUUAAAGAAUUUGUCGAUACAUUUAUUUGGCAAGCACCACAAUUACCAAAAAGUACAGAGGAAUUAAUGCUCUGAUGGUGCAAGAGCAGAGGAUUCUGGGACCUCAGAGGAAGAUCCAAGGGAAACAUGGAAAGUAAUUAGGGAAGGCUUCCUGGAAGUGGAGGCAGAACAAAGCUCACAAAUGCAGAAGUGUUGGGGCAAAACCCUCAGAAUUAAGCACAAUUCCCACUAUAAAAAUUGUUUUCCAAAAUAAAAUCUUAUUUAUUCUCUUUACUAACUUCAAAUACAAUACAUGCCCACAAACCCCCAAGUAAAGAUAAAUAAAAAAUACCAACACACAAGUGAUUUUUAAAACACCCAUAAUCUUAUCCACCCAUCAUAACUCCUUGCUAAAUAUUUUCCAGAUGGAUAGGCAUGGAAACCUAUUUUUAAAAAAUAUUAUCUUACUACAUGGUGCCAUUUGAAAUCGACCCCCCACGGGCGUCUUUCCUUAUCCACAAACACACACA